UUACGGUCGCAUCACGUUGACCACACAAGUUCCGGUACGAUAUCUGAAGUUAAGCAACAUUGAACCUGGUCAGUACCUAGAUGGGUGACCGCUUGGGAAUACUAGGUACUGUGA
Non-coding RNA from Acanthosepion pharaonis, 114 nucleotides. The record is from the annotation of a GenBank genome assembly. NCBI's taxonomy places the organism in Eukaryota, Metazoa, Mollusca, Cephalopoda, Sepiida, Sepiidae.